Molecule: ribosomal RNA, 406 nt
Filed under: uncultured bacterium
Lineage: Bacteria
Description: partial 16S ribosomal RNA
Rfam family: Bacterial small subunit ribosomal RNA
Source: RNAcentral
AUUGAACGCUGGCGGCAGGCCUAACACAUGCAAGUCGAGCGAGCGGCGGACGGGUGAGUAAUGUCUGGGAAACUGCCUGCUGGAGGGGGAUAACUACUGGAAACGGUAGCUAAUACCGCAUACCAUCAGAUGUGCCCAGAUGGGAUUAGCUAGUAGGUGGGGUAAUGGCUCACCUAGGCGACGAUCCCUAGCUGGUCUGAGAGGAUGACCAGCAAGACUGGAAGGGAGACACGGUCCAGACUCCAACGGGAGGCAGCAGUGGGGAUUAUUGCACAAGGGGCGCAAGCCUGAUGCGGCCAUGCCGGGUGUGUGAAGAAGGCCUUCGGGUUGUAAAGCACUUUCAGCGGGGAGGCGUUACCCGCAGAAGAAGCAACGGCUAACUCCGUGCCAGCAGCCGCGGUAAUAC